Molecule: ribosomal RNA, 1148 nt
Filed under: bioreactor sludge metagenome
Description: bacterial LSU rRNA
Rfam family: Bacterial large subunit ribosomal RNA
Source: RNAcentral
GCAGUGAAAUGGUUCUAGUGACUGGUUAACAAAACCACAGGUCUCUGCUAAGCCGUAAGGCGAUGUAUAGGGGCUGACGCCUGCCCAGUGCCGGAAGGUUAAGGGGAGAGGUUAGCGCAAGCGAAGCUUUGAACCGAAGCCCCGGUGAACGGCGGCCGUAACUAUAACGGUCCUAAGGUAGCGAAAUUCCUUGUCGGGUAAGUUCCGACCCGCACGAACGGCGUAACAACUAGAGCACUGUCUCAACGAGGGACCCGGCGAAAUUGAAAUGGCUGUGAAGAUGCGGCCUACCCGCAGCAGGACAAAAAGACCCCGUGGAGCUUUACUGCAAUUUGGCAUUGAGUUUGGGUAUGGUUUGUGUAGGAUAGGUGGGAGGCUAUGAAGCUGGAGCGCUAGCUUCGGUGGAGCCAACGGUGAAAUACCACCCUGACGAUACUUAGACCCUAACUUUCGACCUUAAUCAGGCGAGAGGACCGUGCCAGAUGGGCAGUUUGACUGGGGCGGUCGCCUCCUAAAAGGUAACGGAGGCGCCCAAAGGUUCCCUCAGGCUGAAUGGAAACCAGCCGGAGAGUGUAAAGGCACAAGGGAGCUUGACUGCAAGACCAACGCGUCGAGCAGAGACGAAAGUCGGGCUUAGUGAUCCCACGGUACUGAGUGGAAGGGCCGUGGCUUACCGGACAAAAGCUACCCCGGGGAUAACAGGCUGGUGAAGUCCAAGAGUUCAUAUCGACGACUUCGCUCGGCACCUCGAUGUCGGCUCAUCGCAUCCUGGGGCUGUACAAGGUCCCAAGGGUCGGGCUGUUCGCCCGUUAAAGCGGUACGCGAGCUGGGUUCAGACCGUCGUGAGACAGGUCGGUCUCUAUCCGCUGUGGGCGUAAGGGAUUUGAGAGGAGCUGCCCCUAGUACGAGAGGACCGGGGUGGACAGACCUCUGGUGUGCCAGUUGUCGUGCCAACGGCAUUGCUGGGUAGCUACGUCUGGCAGAGAUAACCGCUGAAAGCAUCUAAGUGGGAAACUCGCCUCAAGAUGAGAUCCCUGUAAUCCCGAAAGGGAGUAAGGACGCAGGUAGACUACCUGCUUGAUAGGCGGCGUGUGUAAGUGCAGUAAUGCACGUAGCUAAGCCGUACUAAUGUCCGAGGGCUUUCGCGC